RNAcentral lists this unclassified non-coding RNA (226 nucleotides) under uncultured Alphaproteobacteria bacterium. RNAcentral describes it as "contains 16S-23S intergenic spacer region". Lineage: Bacteria; Pseudomonadati; Pseudomonadota; Alphaproteobacteria. The record is from RNAcentral.
UCCGGCUUAUCACCGGCAGUCCCUCUAGAGUGCCCAACUCAAUGCUGGCAACUAAAGGCGAGGGUUGCGCUCGUUGCGGGACUUAACCCAACAUCUCACGACACGAGCUGACGACAGCCAUGCAGCACCUGUGUUCCCGCCAGCCGAACUGAAGGAUGCCGUCUCCGGCACCCAUACGGGACAUGUCAAGGGCUGGUAAGGUGGGGAUGACGUCUCUAGGAGGGUG